UUGUCCUGUGACUGCGUACCUUUUGUAUAAUGGGUCAGCGACUUAUAUUCAGUGGCAAGGUUAACCAUCUAGGGGAGCCGUAGGGAAACCGAGUCUUAACUGGGCGUUCAGUCUCUGGAUAUAGACCCGAAACCAGGUGAUCUAGCCAUGGGCAGGUUGAAGGUUGAGUAACAUCAACUGGAGGACCGAACCGACUAAUGUUGAAAAAUUAGCGGAUGACUUGUGGCUAGGGGUGAAAGGCCAAUCAAACCUGGAGAUAGCUGGUUCUCCCCGAAAGCUAUUUAGGUAGCGCCUCGGACGAAUACUACUGGGGGUAGAGCACUGUUAAGGCUAGGGGGUCAUCCCGAC
This 348-nucleotide ribosomal RNA is filed under the name Vibrio parahaemolyticus. RNAcentral's name for it is "partial 23S ribosomal RNA". It matches the Rfam family "Bacterial large subunit ribosomal RNA", at positions 586 to 935 of the family's 2925-position model. The record is from RNAcentral. Lineage: Bacteria; Pseudomonadati; Pseudomonadota; Gammaproteobacteria; Vibrionales; Vibrionaceae.